Molecule: transfer RNA, 69 nt
Filed under: Camelus bactrianus (Bactrian camel)
Lineage: Eukaryota; Metazoa; Chordata; Mammalia; Artiodactyla; Camelidae
Also listed under: 3 other names
Rfam family: tRNA
About the family: Transfer RNA (tRNA) molecules are approximately 80 nucleotides in length. Their secondary structure includes four short double-helical elements and three loops (D, anti-codon, and T loops). Further hydrogen bonds mediate the characteristic L-shaped molecular structure. tRNAs have two regions of fundamental functional importance: the anti-codon, which is responsible for specific mRNA codon recognition, and the 3' end, to which the tRNAs corresponding amino acid is attached (by aminoacyl-tRNA synthetases). tRNAs cope with the degeneracy of the genetic code in two manners: having more than one tRNA (with a specific anti-codon) for a particular amino acid; and 'wobble' base-pairing, i.e. permitting non-standard base-pairing at the 3rd anti-codon position.
Source: Rfam by way of RNAcentral
GGAUAUAGCUCAGUGGUAGAGUGCAUGCCUAGCAUGCACGAGGUCUGGGUUCAAUCCCCAGUACCUCCA